RNAcentral lists this transfer RNA (87 nucleotides) under marine bacterium B5-7. RNAcentral's name for it is "tRNA-Leu". It matches the Rfam family "tRNA". Rfam says of the family: Transfer RNA (tRNA) molecules are approximately 80 nucleotides in length. Their secondary structure includes four short double-helical elements and three loops (D, anti-codon, and T loops). Further hydrogen bonds mediate the characteristic L-shaped molecular structure. tRNAs have two regions of fundamental functional importance: the anti-codon, which is responsible for specific mRNA codon recognition, and the 3' end, to which the tRNAs corresponding amino acid is attached (by aminoacyl-tRNA synthetases). tRNAs cope with the degeneracy of the genetic code in two manners: having more than one tRNA (with a specific anti-codon) for a particular amino acid; and 'wobble' base-pairing, i.e. permitting non-standard base-pairing at the 3rd anti-codon position. Lineage: Bacteria; Pseudomonadati; Pseudomonadota; Gammaproteobacteria. The record is from RNAcentral.
GCCGACGUGGUGGAAUUGGUAGACGCGCUACCUUGAGGGGGUAGUGACCUUCGGGUCGUGUCGGUUCGAGUCCGACCGUCGGCACCA